GACAGAGGGUGCUAGCGUUGUUCGGAAUUACUGGGCGUAAAGGGCGCGUAGGCGGUCUGUUAAGUUCGGUGUGAAAUCCCCUGGCUCAACUGGGGAACUGCGCUGGAAACUGGCAGACUCGAGUACCGGAGAGGAGAGUGGAAUUCCUGGUGUAGCGGUGAAAUGCGUAGAUAUCAGGAGGAACACCGGUGGCGAAGGCGGCUCUCUGGACGGAUACUGACGCUGAGGCGCGAAAGCGUGGGGAGCAAACAGG
Molecule: ribosomal RNA, 253 nt
Filed under: uncultured bacterium
Lineage: Bacteria
Description: partial 16S ribosomal RNA
Rfam family: Bacterial small subunit ribosomal RNA
Source: RNAcentral